Molecule: non-coding RNA, 27 nt
Filed under: Rattus norvegicus (Norway rat)
Lineage: Eukaryota; Metazoa; Chordata; Mammalia; Rodentia; Muridae
Source: RNAcentral
UGCCCACCCAUUCAUGCAGUGCUGGGA